GACGAACCGUGCGAACGUUAUUCGGAAUCACUGGGCUUAAAGCGCGUGUAGGCGGGUCGCCACGUCGGGCGUGAAAUCCCCCGGCUCAACCGGGGAACGGGCACCGAUACGAGCGGCCUGGAGGGGAGUAGGGGGACCUGGAACUUCCGGUGGAGCGGUGAAAUGCGUUGAGAUCGGAAGGAACGCCCGUGGCGAAAGCGAGGUCCUGGGCUCCUGCUGACGCUGAGACGCGAAAGCCAGGGGGAGCGAAACGGG
Molecule: ribosomal RNA, 255 nt
Filed under: uncultured bacterium
Lineage: Bacteria
Description: partial 16S ribosomal RNA
Rfam family: Bacterial small subunit ribosomal RNA
Source: RNAcentral